RNAcentral lists this ribosomal RNA (433 nucleotides) under uncultured bacterium. RNAcentral describes it as "partial 16S ribosomal RNA". It matches the Rfam family "Bacterial small subunit ribosomal RNA", at positions 29 to 507 of the family's 1533-position model. The record is from RNAcentral.
AGCGAACGCUGGCGGCAGGCUUAACACAUGCAAGUCGAGCGGACCUUUCGGGGUCAGCGGCGGACGGGUGAGUAACGCGUGGGAACGUGCCUUCCGGUUCGGAAUAACCCUGGGAAACUAGGGCUAAUACCGGAUACGCCCUUAUGGGGAAAGGUUUACUGCCGGAAGAUCGGCCCGCGUCUGAUUAGCUAGUUGGUGGGGUAACGGCCUACCAAGGCGACGAUCAGUAGCUGGUCUGAGAGGAUGAUCAGCCACACUGGGACUGAGACACGGCCCAGACUCCUACGGGAGGCAGCAGUGGGGAAUAUUGGACAAUGGGCGCAAGCCUGAUCCAGCCGUGCCGCGUGAGUGAUGAAGGCCUUAGGGUUGUAAAGCUCUUUUAUCCGGGACGAUAAUGACGGUACCGGAGGAAUAAGCCCCGGCUAACUUCGUG